RNAcentral lists this non-coding RNA (101 nucleotides) under Glossina fuscipes. RNAcentral describes it as "Guanine sequence". It matches the Rfam family "Purine riboswitch aptamer". From Rfam's summary of the family: Riboswitches are metabolite binding domains within certain messenger RNAs that serve as precision sensors for their corresponding targets. Allosteric rearrangement of mRNA structure is mediated by ligand binding, and this results in modulation of gene expression. A class of riboswitches that selectively recognises guanine and becomes saturated at concentrations as low as 5 nM. Lineage: Eukaryota; Metazoa; Arthropoda; Insecta; Diptera; Glossinidae. The record is from RNAcentral.
GUAAAUAUAUUAAACACCACCUGUAUAUGCUAGUAAUAUGGUCUAGCGUUUCUACGUCUUACCACUGGAAUAAGGACUCUAUAGGUUAAUGCUUUUCUUUC